UGUACUGCAGAGACGGAAGAAAUGCAUUUAAAGCACAGAUGAAAAUGGCGUGCAGUAUAAUUACCUCAAAUUGCUGUUCGCUUGACACCCUGACACUAAUUUUAUUCAAGCCAUUGGGAAAUAAAUGUUUUAAAAGCACUUCUUUCCAAACGCUGGAGCUAGUGGGGGCUGUGAGGUCAUUAAGGAAAGGAAAGGGUAAAGUUUUCAGCACGCAAAGAAGAAUUAAAUAAUCCAUUUAAAAUAAGCGUCUAUGUGGAUCGACAGCCUUUAAUGCCCACAUUUUUAACGCUUGCCCUGUACGUGGAUUGAUUUUUUUUUCCUUCAGCAUUCCCUCACCAGAUGGAUUUUUGCUACUGCAGAUCAGCAGAGGGUGUCAGAUCUUUCAGAGUGCACCAGGCUGGAACAAGCAGAGCUUCUUAGCAACUCUCUUCUACCCCCUCCCCAUUCUCGCGCUCUCUCCCUCCCUCAGACAACUCGCCCCCCGCCCUCCGCCCCCUCCACGUAAUUCCGAAAGAGCAGAAUAAAGAGGAGGAAAAGAAAAGAAGAGCUAGUAACCGAGAGCCGGAGCCCAGAAAAAGGGGCUGAAGAGGACCGAAGGGGAGGAAAGGAAAAGGAUGGACAGCCACAAAACGCAGCGAUUGCGGAAAUUUUCCAGCGCCAUUGGCUCGGCAGCGUGAGUCUUUCGGUCGGGCGUGAUUUCAGCACCGGGGGGACUGGACAGCACCUCGGGGGGACUUCUGGGCAACCUGCAACCGAAGCAAGAACUCCAUCAGCUGCUUCCGCUACAGAAGCUGCCGAAAACCCUGCUUUGUAUCAGAGAGGCAAGGAGAUGGAAGACAGUGAAGGAACUGGAGAGAGAGGUAGCAGGGCACUAACCCUCUCUGAUGGCACCCAAGGUGUUUUGGGACACAGGUAUAGAAAUAAAUGCAUAUGUAUAUAAGUAUAUAUAUAAUUUUUAAAUGUGUCAAUAUAUGUGUCAAUAUACUAUGACAUAAAAAUAGAGACAGAAACAGCUUUACUUUAAGCAGAUAAUUAAUGCUCCUCC
This 1045-nucleotide long non-coding RNA is filed under the name Suricata suricatta (meerkat). RNAcentral's name for it is "lncRNA (ENSSSUG00005007652.1)". Lineage: Eukaryota; Metazoa; Chordata; Mammalia; Carnivora; Herpestidae. The record is from RNAcentral.